This 155-nucleotide small nuclear RNA is filed under the name Capra hircus (goat). Its description in RNAcentral is "U2 spliceosomal RNA (ENSCHIG00010031924.1)". It matches the Rfam family "U2 spliceosomal RNA". From Rfam's summary of the family: U2 is a small nuclear RNA (snRNA) component of the spliceosome (involved in pre-mRNA splicing). Complementary binding between U2 snRNA (in an area lying towards the 5' end but 3' to hairpin I) and the branchpoint sequence (BPS) of the intron results the bulging out of an unpaired adenosine, on the BPS, which initiates a nucleophilic attack at the intronic 5' splice site, thus starting the first of two transesterification reactions that mediate splicing. Lineage: Eukaryota; Metazoa; Chordata; Mammalia; Artiodactyla; Bovidae. The record is from RNAcentral.
AUCGCUUCUUGGCCUUUUGGUUAAGAUCAAGUGAACUGGUUACCAUUAUAUUUAGGUUGGUGCAAAAGGUUAGUGUUGUUUUGCCCGGAUAUCGGCUACAUUCGCAAAGAAAUGUGGUUAUGUUAUACAUCAUUUUAAUACACAUUUCUCACUCU